ACGCUGGCGGCAGGCCUAACACAUGCAAGUCGAGCGGAAACGACACUAACAAUCCUUCGGGUGCGUUAAUGGGCGUCGAGCGGCGGACGGGUGAGUAAUGCCUAGGAAAUUGCCUUGAUGUGGGGGAUAACCAUUGGAAACGAUGGCUAAUACCGCAUAAUGCCUACGGGCCAAAGAGGGGGACCUUCGGGCCUCUCGCGUCAAGAUAUGCCUAGGUGGGAUUAGCUAGUUGGUGAGGUAAUGGCUCACCAAGGCGACGAUCCCUAGCUGGUCUGAGAGGAUGAUCAGCCACACUGGAACUGAGACACGGUCCAGACUCCUACGGGAGGCAGCAGUGGGGAAUAUUGCACAAUGGGCGAAAGCCUGAUGCAGCCAUGCCGCGUGUAUGAAGAAGGCCUUCGGGUUGUAAAGUACUUUCAGUUGUGAGGAAGGGGGUAGCGUUAAUAGCGCUAUCUCUUGACGUUAGCAACAGAAGAAGCACCGGCUAACUCCGUGCCAGCAGCCGCGGUAAUACGGAGGGUGCGAGCGUUAAUCGGAAUUACUGGGCGUAAAGCGCAUGCAGGUGGUUCAUUAAGUCAGAUGUGAAAGCCCGGGGCUCAACCUCGGAACUGCAUUUGAAACUGGUGAACUAGAGURCUGUAGAGGGGGGUAGAAUUUCAGGUGUAGCGGUGAAAUGCGUAGAGAUCUGAAGGAAUACCAGUGGCGAAGGCGGCCCCCUGGACA
This 723-nucleotide ribosomal RNA is filed under the name Vibrio sp. 12E03. RNAcentral describes it as "bacterial SSU rRNA". It matches the Rfam family "Bacterial small subunit ribosomal RNA", at positions 33 to 735 of the family's 1533-position model. The record is from RNAcentral. Lineage: Bacteria; Pseudomonadati; Pseudomonadota; Gammaproteobacteria; Vibrionales; Vibrionaceae.